AUCUACGGCCAUACCACCCUGAACAUGCCUGAUCUCGUCUGAUUUUGGAGGCUAAGCGGGGUCGGGCCUGGUGGGAGAAAUCUCCAUACUAUUUUUCAUAGAAAUUGCACUAGUUU
Molecule: ribosomal RNA, 116 nt
Filed under: Microcebus murinus (gray mouse lemur)
Lineage: Eukaryota; Metazoa; Chordata; Mammalia; Primates; Cheirogaleidae
Source: RNAcentral